UUUAAUUGAAGAGUUUGAUCAUGGCUCAGAUUGAACGCUGGCGGCAGGCCUAACACAUGCAAGUCGAGCGGCAGCGACAUAAACAAACCUUCGGGGG
RNAcentral lists this ribosomal RNA (97 nucleotides) under Vibrio xiamenensis. RNAcentral describes it as "16S rRNA. Bacterial SSU". Lineage: Bacteria; Pseudomonadati; Pseudomonadota; Gammaproteobacteria; Vibrionales; Vibrionaceae. The record is from RNAcentral.